This 400-nucleotide ribosomal RNA is filed under the name uncultured bacterium. RNAcentral describes it as "bacterial SSU rRNA". It matches the Rfam family "Bacterial small subunit ribosomal RNA", at positions 355 to 747 of the family's 1533-position model. The record is from RNAcentral.
UGGGGAAUAUUGGACAAUGGGGGAAACCCUGAUCCAGCCAUGCCGCGUGUGUGAAGAAGGCCCUAGGGUUGUAAAGCACUUUAAGCAGGGAGGAAAGGGUGGUGGCUAAUAUCUAUCAUCAUUGACGCUACCUGCAGAAUAAGCACCGGCUAACUUCGUGCCAGCAGCCGCGGUAAUACGAAGGGUGCAAGCGUUAAUCGGAAUUACUGGGCGUAAAGCGCGCGUAGGCGGUUUGGUAAGUGUGAUGUGAAAUCCCCGGGCUCAACCUGGGAACUGCAUCACAUACUGCCAGGCUAGAGUACGGUAGAGGGGGGUAGAAUUCCACGUGUAGCGGUGAAAUGCGUAGAGAUGUGGAGGAAUACCAGUGGCGAAGGCGGCCCCCUGGAUCGAUACUGACGCU